UUAAGUUAAUAAGGGCGCACGGUGGAUGCCUUGGCACUAGGAGCCGACGAAGGACGUGACAAACGACGAUAUGCCUUGGGUAGCUGUAAGUAAGCGAUGAUCCAGGGAUUUCCGAAUGGGGGAACCCAACAGGUAAUACCUGUUACCUACAUCUGUUAAGGAUGUGAGGAGGAAGACGCAGUGAACUGAAACAUCUAAGUAGCUGCAGGAAGAGAAAGCAAAAGCGAUUGCCUUAGUAGCGGCGAGCGAAACGGCAGAAGGGCAAACCGAAGAGUUUACUCUUCGGGGUUGUAGGACUGCAAUGUGGACUCAAAGAUUAUAGAAGAAUGAUUUGGGAAGAUCAGCCAAAGAGAGUAAUAGCCUCGUAUUUAAAAUAGUCUUUGUACUUAGCAGUAUCCUGAGUACGGCGGGACACGUGAAAUCCCGUCGGAAUCUGGGAGGACCAUCUCCCAACCCUAAAUACUCCCUAGUGACCGAUAGUGAACCAGUACCGUGAGGGAAAGGUGAAAAGCACCCCGGGAGGGGAGUGAAAUAGAACCUGAAACCGUGUGCCUACAACAAGUUCGAGCCCGUUAAUGGGUGAGAGCGUGCCUUUUGUAGAAUGAACCGGCGAGUUACGUUAUGAUGCGAGGUUAAGUUGAAGAGACGGAGCCGUAGGGAAACCGAGUCUGAAUAGGGCGCCUUAGUAUCAUGACGUAGACCCGAAACCAUGUGACCUACCCAUGAGCAGGUUGAAGGUGCGGUAAGACGCACUGGAGGACCGAACCAGGGCACGUUGAAAAGUGCUUGGAUGACUUGUGGGUAGCGGAGAAAUUCCAAACGAACUUGGAGAUAGCUGGUUCUCUCCGAAAUAGCUUUAGGGCUAGCGUCGACAUUAAAGAUUCUUGGAGGUAGAGCACUGUUUGGGUGAGGGGUCCAUCCCGGAUUACCAAUCUCAGAUAAACUCCGAAUGCCAAUGAAUUAUGGUCGGCAGUCAGACUGCGAGUGCUAAGAUCCGUAGUCGAAAGGGAAACAGCCCAGACCACCAGCUAAGGUCCCAAAAUAAUUGUUAAGUGGAAAAGGAUGUGGGGUUGCACAGACAACUAGGAUGUUAGCUUAGAAGCAGCUAUUCAUUCAAAGAGUGCGUAAUAGCUCACUAGUCGAGUGACCCUGCGCCGAAAAUGUACCGGGGCUAAAACAAUUUACCGAAGCUGUGGAUACCUUUAUAGGUAUGGUAGGAGAGCGUUCUAUGUGUGAUGAAGGUAUACCGUGAGGAGUGCUGGAACGCAUAGAAGUGAGAAUGCCGGUAUGAGUAGCGAAAGACAGGUGAGAAUCCUGUCCACCGUAAGACUAAGGUUUCCAGGGGAAGGCUCGUCCGCCCUGGGUUAGUCGGGACCUAAGGAGAGACCGAAAGGUGUAUCCGAUGGACAACAGGUUGAUAUUCCUGUACUAGAGUAUGUAGUGAUGGAGGGACGCAGUAGGCUAACUAAAGCAGACGAUUGGAAGAGUCUGUCUAAGCAGUGAGGUGUGAAUUGAGUCAAAUGCUUAAUUCUAUAACAUUGAGCUGUGAUGGGGAGCGAAGUUUAGUAGCGAAGUUAGUGACGUCACACUGCCAAGAAAAGCUUCUAGCGUUUAAACAUACUCUACCCGUACCGCAAACCGACACAGGUAGUCGAGGCGAGUAGCCUCAGGUGAGCGAGAGAACUCUCGGUAAGGAACUCGGCAAAAUGACCCCGUAACUUCGGGAGAAGGGGUGCGGACUUAAAGUCAGCCGCAGUGAAUAGGCCCAAGCAACUGUUUAUCAAAAACACAGCUCUCUGCUAAAUCGUAAGAUGAUGUAUAGGGGGUGACGCCUGCCCGGUGCUGGAAGGUUAAGAGGAGUGCUUAGCGUAAGCGAAGGUAUGAAUUGAAGCCCCAGUAAACGGCGGCCGUAACUAUAACGGUCCUAAGGUAGCGAAAUUCCUUGUCGGGUAAGUUCCGACCCGCACGAAAGGCGUAAUGAUUUGGGCACUGUCUCAACGAGAGACUCGGUGAAAUUUUAGUACCUGUGAAGAUGCAGGUUACCCGCGACAGGACGGAAAGACCCCAUGGAGCUUUACUGCAGUUUGAUAUUGAGUGUCUGUACCACAUGUACAGGAUAGGUAGGAGUCUAAGAGAUCGGGACGCCAGUUUCGAAGGAGACGCUGUUGGGAUACUACCCUUGUGUUAUGGCCACUCUAACCCAGAUAGGUGAUCCCUAUCGGAGACAGUGUCUGACGGGCAGUUUGACUGGGGCGGUCGCCUCCUAAAAGGUAACGGAGGCGCCCAAAGGUUCCCUCAGAAUGGUUGGAAAUCAUUCGCAGAGUGUAAAGGUAUAAGGGAGCUUGACUGCGAGAGCUACAACUCGAGCAGGGACGAAAGUCGGGCUUAGUGAUCCGGUGGUUCCGUAUGGAAGGGCCAUCGCUCAACGGAUAAAAGCUACCCUGGGGAUAACAGGCUUAUCUCCCCCAAGAGUUCACAUCGACGGGGAGGUUUGGCACCUCGAUGUCGGCUCGUCGCAUCCUGGGGCUGUAGUCGGGCCCAAGGGUUGGGCUGUUCGCCCAUUAAAGCGGCACGCGAGCUGGGUUCAGAACGUCGUGAGACAGUUCGGUCCCUAUCCGUCGCGGGCGUAGGAAAUUUGAGAGGAUCUGCUCCUAGUACGAGAGGACCAGAGUGGACUUACCGCUGGUGUACCAGUUGUCUUGCCAAAGGCAUCGCUGGGUAGCUAUGUAGGGAAGGGAUAAACGCUGAAAGCAUCUAAGUGUGAAACCCACCUCAAGAUGAGAUUUCCCAUGAUUAUAUAUCAGUAAGAGCCCUGAGAGAUGAUCAGGUAGAUAGGUUAGAAGUGGAAGUGUGGCGACACAUGUAGCGGACUAAUACUAAUAGCUCGAGGACUUAUCCAA
RNAcentral lists this ribosomal RNA (2900 nucleotides) under Streptococcus pneumoniae. RNAcentral describes it as "bacterial LSU rRNA". It matches the Rfam family "Bacterial large subunit ribosomal RNA". Lineage: Bacteria; Bacillati; Bacillota; Bacilli; Lactobacillales; Streptococcaceae. The record is from RNAcentral.